This 833-nucleotide long non-coding RNA is filed under the name Homo sapiens (human). RNAcentral describes it as "HSALNT0024817". Lineage: Eukaryota; Metazoa; Chordata; Mammalia; Primates; Hominidae. The record is from RNAcentral.
UGUUGCUGUAACUGAAUGCACGAGACUGGGUUAUUUACAAAGAAAAGACAUUUAUUUCUCACAGUUUUGGAGGUUAGGAAGUCCAAGGUUGAGGGGUUGCAUCUGAUGGGGGCCUUCUUGCCGGUGGGGACUCUCUGCAGGGUCCUAAGGCAGCUCAGGGUGUCACAUGGCAAGAGGACAAGAAAAUGCCAAACUGGCUUUUAUAACAGACACACUCCUGUGAUAACCCAUUAGUCUACUAAUCCGUGAAUGGGUUAUUCCUUUCAAGACAGAAGAGCAAAUAUAACCCAGCCACCUCUGAAAUACCCCAUCUUCAACAUGAGUCUUGGAGGACGCAGACAUUCACACCAUAGCAUGAGGCUGUAGAUGUCUUCAAAACAACCUCUGCCUUUGUCUUCUAGAAGUGGAGUUUCCAGACUCUACUUGUUCAAGGAUGCUGUGUCCUUGACUUAGCUCAUUAUCACCUUUUGGUCACCUUUUUCAUCCUGGUGCUUUAUGGACUCUAAUUGAUCGGUUUCCAACCCACCACCAUAUCUGACUGUGCUCUAGGUGUUUCCUGUGAUCUCUGGGAUCCUGAUCCGCACCACUCAACUUUGGCCUCCUAAACUUCAUCCUUGACCCCACCCCAGGUAGGAAGGAUGUGUGGAUAUUUCUUUUAUCUUUCUGCAACGAUGACCUUUUGGAGAAAAAGAAAGGAAGCAGGACCUCUUGACCAGAAUUUAUCCAGCACUCCAGCACGGCUUGCACGUUAUCUGGAGUAAAGAGACCUUCUGGGAUUUCAUCAGCCUCCUGUCCAUCAAGAGUUCUUCCAGUUUUUGACUGACUGAAUUUUC